GGGCGCAGCCUGAUGCAGCCAGGCCGCGUGGUGUGAAGAAGGCCUUACGGGUUGUAAAGCACUUUCAGCGAGGAGGAAGGGUUCAGAGUUAAUAGCACUGUGCAUUGACGUUACUCGCAGAAGAAGCACCGGCUAACUCCGAGCCAGCAGCCGCGGUAAAGAA
RNAcentral lists this ribosomal RNA (163 nucleotides) under uncultured bacterium. RNAcentral describes it as "partial 16S ribosomal RNA". It matches the Rfam family "Bacterial small subunit ribosomal RNA", at positions 373 to 525 of the family's 1533-position model. The record is from RNAcentral.